GUGAAUCAUCAAAUUUUUGAACGCCAAUUGCACUCUCCUCGGAGAGUAUGCCUGUUUGAGGGUCAGCCUAUAAAAACUCGACAUCGUUGCUGUUUCGCGGUGGCGUUCGUCGGUCAUUGGGUCAUCUUAAAUCCUUUUUGUUUUAGCGUCUUUAAAUAUUCCUUUUGGUUCCAUUUACGUUUUCAACCUUUUACUUCUUACACGUUUAAGGCUAUUGUUUUUUUUUAGCCUUGCCUUUCAUACGGAU
RNAcentral lists this unclassified non-coding RNA (247 nucleotides) under Glomus sp. RNAcentral's name for it is "partial contains 5.8S ribosomal RNA and internal transcribed spacer 2". The stretch from base 1 to 65 matches the Rfam family "5.8S ribosomal RNA", at positions 84 to 154 of the family's 154-position model. The record is from RNAcentral. Lineage: Eukaryota; Fungi; Glomeromycota; Glomeromycetes; Glomerales; Glomeraceae.